Molecule: transfer RNA, 78 nt
Filed under: Flavobacteriales bacterium
Lineage: Bacteria; Pseudomonadati; Bacteroidota; Flavobacteriia; Flavobacteriales
Description: tRNA-Val
Rfam family: tRNA
About the family: Transfer RNA (tRNA) molecules are approximately 80 nucleotides in length. Their secondary structure includes four short double-helical elements and three loops (D, anti-codon, and T loops).
Source: RNAcentral
GGGCAAUUAGCUCAGUUGGUUUAGAGCACUAGCUCGACAAGCUAGGGGUCGCAGGUUCGAAUCCUGCAUUGCCCACAA